Molecule: long non-coding RNA, 428 nt
Organism: Hypanus sabinus (Atlantic stingray)
Lineage: Eukaryota; Metazoa; Chordata; Chondrichthyes; Myliobatiformes; Dasyatidae
Exons: 3
Source: RefSeq, a predicted model, not a curated record
AGCGAGGACCAAUGACUACAACUCCCAGAAGGCCCCACUGAUGACGUUGUGGUGUUUUGGGAUCGUUGAUAUAGAUGGUAAACAACAACGGAUCCAGCACCGAUCGCUGCGGCACUCCACUGGUCACAGGCCUUUAUUCAGAGAGGAGACCAUCUAAUACCGCACUCUGGCUUCUCACACAAAGCAAAUGUGGCUGAGUCGGCGGAUCUGAGGGCUGCAAAGGUGGUCACAGCCGAAGGGUGGUAGUGGGGACGAGUUCCCCCGACUAAACAAAUGCUCUUCAUGGCGCGCGUUUCAAACAGCUUCUGACAACCAGAUCCGACUCCUGGCCUUCACGUGGCGGAGCUGUUCUACCCGACAGGAGAAGAGGCAAAGGAGGGCCACUGGCGCCUUAAAACCAGUUGUCCCGGGCAGAUGGGGCUGGUUAA